GUUUCUUCUCAAAAUGAAUGGAAAUGCAGUGGCACAGCUGCCCAGGUAGAUGAUGGAGUCACUGUCUUUGGAGGUGUUUGAGGCUUUGGACACGUGGCACUGAGGGACGUGGUUGGUGGGCAUGGUGGGGGUGGGUUUAACUAGACAACCUUAAAGGUUUUGUCCAACAUUGAUGAUUCUAUGAUUCUAUGACUGGCCAUCCACAGCUGAUCAUCGGUCAACCUGGGGUAGAGAACAUUGCUCUCACUCCUCCUGUGGUGGUAGCAAAGCUUUGGCUGCCAACAACUCUUCUCCUUGUAUGGCAGUAGUAACUGAAAGCCUUCCUCUUCUUUAUGCUUGAAGAUGACUUUUACCUCACUUAUAUCCCUCAGCUGCUUGUUGUUCCCCAUUCCUGUUGCGGGGUAUGCUCCUAAUGGAGAAGAAACCAUGUGGCAUCCCUGCAGGUCUGCGUGGUACAGUGCCUGAGGGCCUUAGCAGUGUCUUUGAAGAUAAAAUGUGAUGUGAUUUUACAAGCCAUGUGGUUGGAUAGCCGUAGAAGUGGAAGAUGGUGUUUCUUUAGGCGCCAGCGACAGCCCCUCUGAAAGGUAAUGAAAAUCUGGCUCUGCUUCCCAGCACCAUGAGGAAAUGAAUGGGUAACUGCAGAUGUUACUGCUGAGGAGAAAUGGGGGGAGCAGACGCAAGAGCACCGAGAGAUGUGCUUUGUUGCUGUUGCUCUAAAUGGUAAACAAAUAAGCACUAAUCAGUAAAUCAGCCCCGACGCUGUCCUCAGAUGGCCUGUUAGUGCUAAUCCUCCUCAGCACUGAACCAGAAGCAAAAAAAAAAAAACAAAAAAACAAUCCACUGAGGGAGAAGAUUUCAAAUUUACACUAAGAAAAACUCCUCACCAGGGCUGGUUUAUAGAUGGUAGCAAACAGCACCAGAGCCUGGGCUGAGCACGAAGGCUGCGGCUGCGUUCUGAAUCUGCUGCUAAUUGAUAAACAUCACAAGCAGUUGAUUUCAGCAGAACCCCUUGAUUUAAUUACACUCUUGUAUACAAUGGGGACCUUGCAUUUUCCUAUAUGUAAUGAAUAUUAAGCUGAUAGCCCUGUAAUUUCCUGUGCUGGCUUUGCUCUCAUUUUUUGCAUAUUGAUACCACAUUUGGUUUGUUAUUUUCCAAUUUUCCAGUCUUCUAGACUUGUGCUCAGCGAGUUCUCCAUAGUAAUUGCUGUUGGCACACACGUUUCCUUCCUCAAAUCUGCUCUAACACCCUGGAAUGAAUUUUGUCUCAUCCCAGAGAUCUGCUUGGUUUUGAAUUUCUCUUAUUUAUUCAUUGCCUUUACCUCAGCAACCCUGGAAUCGGGAAGGACACUGGAUAUAAUUUCAUAUUCCACAGUUUUAAUUUCCUCUCUCAUAGCCCAGGCAGUUCCCAUCCCUCCUCCCCCCACCCCUCCACGUGCACACGUGUGUUAUUGUCUCUCUGGCUCUGUGACUUGCUGCUGUUUGUAAGCUGUUUUUCAGUAGUGCUCCCAGGGAAGCUGGUGCUGCUUGAGUCGAAAAGUCAAGAGGGACCUCAGUGCAGUAUCAUCAGAAAUCAAGCUGGUACUGACUGCAUCUUUCUGGCCUAUUUGGGAUUUAGGUACCGUUUCUCAAAGUGAUACCUAAAAUUGAACCUCCUCACAUGGGUCCUAAGGAGGACACCCAUUUUCUGAAGCCCUGGAGUUUAUGGUCUGUGAUAAAAAAUGUUGGUCACAUUUGUGAUGCCAGGCAGACAGCGCCUGCUGCUGCUGUCGCUGCUUUUUGACUUCCAGGCCUGUUUCUGUCUCUGAGAUGCUCAGAUGAUGUGCACCCUGGCACCCAUACACCUCCUGAUUCAAGGCAAGAUGCAACUUAGCCUUGAGCUUGUGGUGGUAUUUUCCCUCCUGGAUAUAGUUUCACAGGCUGUAAAUAUGCCUUAUCUGUAUUUCUUUGUGGUUUCUUUCCAGGAAUAUUUACCAAAAAGUAUUCUCAUGAUACACAAUCAUCUUCUCCAGAACAAGCACAAAGGAGAUGUGCCCAUGUCACAGUGCAACCUUCCCCCAGCUCACUUCAGUGCUUGGCCAUGCAGGGAGCAGAGCUGGCUGUGUGUGCUUGACCUGGUGGCAAAGGGUGAAAGUGUUUCUCCUGCACAAUCCUUCCUAAGAGGGGAGCGAGAAGUAACUGGGCUGAGUAUUGACCACGGGCCACAGCUGAGGCAGCAGGACAGAAGUAGUGAAAGCUGUGGAGCACAUCUGGGAGCUCUGUGUGGUUCCUGCGAAUGCAGUGUUUUAUAAACUCAUACACCUUCUCCAUCCUCCCGGCAUAAAAACUGAACUCUGUCUUGGUGCAGAUUAACUUGAAGCGAGCUCAGAUUUCAGUCACAGAGGAAAGCUGUGCUACUCCUUUUACCAGGCUUGUAUGGAGAUGAGGAGUCCAGUCUGCAGAACUGCCGAUCUGAGACUUCUACCUGUGCAAAAUUCACUUUGGAAAAAUAAUAUCACUAAAAAGAGAAGUUGGCUUGCUCUCCUAAAUUAAGCAAUUAGUCUUAGACACAGCCCUCUCUGUGAAGGAGUUGGAAGUUCAUCCUCAGAGUGAGCUGGAAGAUGGUUUAACAAGGUGUUUUACAAAGUGUAGGUGGAUAAAUUUCUGAAGCAUAUCUGUAUAAACCUGCUGAAAGGGCUGCUCAGAGGUUAAGCAGAUAACUUUAUAGAAGCUGAAUAAUCCCACUGUCUGUUGCUCUAUAUAAUCUUGCUAGAAAGCCUAUUUUUCUACAGAGCAAUGAUACAGAAGGUAUUUGUGCGUAGUGAUUACAGCAGUAGAAAUCAAUUGCACACAGCAAAUAAUUUGUUAACACAGGGCUGCACAUUGUAUCAUCAAUAAAGGGAUUCAUUUGUUGAACUGUAAUGAAGGUGAGGAGAAAGCCAACUUCACGCUGCUGUAGCUAAUCCAGACAUAAUACUGACAACAAAUACGUGUAGUGUACAAAUAUAGGUUUGCAUGUUCUUAUACUAAAGGUUUCCUUCACACCCACCAGCUCUAUACGUGCUUCUCAUCUUCAGUAUGUGCCACAAGUAUCUACUGAGCUCCUGGAGUUUAAUACGUAGCCUGAUUUUAAGGAACAUAUAGACAACCACACUGCUACAAUUAGCACAGCAAAGGAAAACUCAAUCAUGGCAGCAUCACUACGUCCACUAAGAUGCCUUCUUAUAAGAUAGAACAGCACAGAGUGGUUCAAUUGGAAGAGAUCCAUGGAGAUCACUGAGUCCAGAUGCCCCUUCAACACUGCCAUGCGUGGGGCGUCAGCCAUUUCUUGAGGGCUCAGGUGCCAAUCUGAGCUGAGCUCCGCUUCCACAAAUCCUGCUCCCUCCUUGCACGUACGCCGUGCUGUGACAGUCACAAAUCAUUCGGCAGAGAAACCUCCCCGAACACCUGUGAGGUGGGUUGGUCUAAUAAUCCUUGCUGCAGAGGAAGUUUUCUGAGCGUGCUGCUGACGGCAUGUGCUCAAGGUCACCUGGAGAGACAGCAGCUGCUGGGCUGACAAGUAGAUGUCAGCUCUGCCUCUGCUCCCAGCACUUCCUCUGCAAAGUCCUCCAGAAGGUCUGUAGCCCCUACCUGCAACAACUCAGGCAGAGGGGCUGCCUGGUGCACCCCUAUUUGCAGAGGGACAAGCAGAGUAAGGCAGGGUGUGAUGUCUCCUCUUGCAGAGAUUCUUCAGUUCUGGGUGAUUCCCACCAUCAGGGCCAGCUCCAGUGUGAUGCUCUGCACGACUGGCAGUGCUGAAGGCUGAGAUUUGCCUUCCCACAGAUCCUGUGGGACGUGUCUUUCCUUAUUCUGGGCUGGAGGAUGAGUUUAAAACGAACCUUCUGGUAGCAAAGCCAACGAAUGAGGAGGCAGAUGAAAAGACAAGCUGUGCAUCAGCGGGGGGAAAUAAUCCCUCCCAAUUCCUGCAGGUAACUGGAAAUCCCAAAGCAUGGGAUUAGCAUUCUAUAAAUAAGGUGUAAACAAACUCAGUGGCAGUGGAAUGACUAAGUCCCUUAGCCCUCUUACAAAUCAAACCUGCUCUGGAAGGAUUCAAUUAUUUCUGUGAUCUCACCUUAGCUAGGGAUUAACUGGCACUGGAGAUCAGGAAGCCCAUUAUAUUUGAAUCCGUAUAUAUACUUGCUGGGAAUAGUUUUUUGCUGCACUUGGUAGAAGGAAGAUGCAAGGCCCUAAAAUACUUUAGUUUUCAGGGUUACCACGAGGCCCAUUUGGUUUUUAUAGUCAGCCAAUAGUCCCUUUGCAUUCUUCUGGAGCAAAUGCAAGUUGUAGUUUCUUGGGCAGGGAAAAGAAUAUGAUGUUUCCCAGCAUCUGUUGGGAGCUGGGAGAGGGUAGUGAAGAACCUUGCAGUGUGCAGAGGUGUUUUCUACAAGCUAAUUAAUUAUCCUUAGGUUCAGUCAUGGGGUGGGAAGGCGGGAGGGGUGCAACAGCAAAGGCUUAAAUACAAGGAAAGAAAGGGAAAUUACAGCUGAGUUACUGCUUAAAACAGAAGCACAUGUAAAUUUUACCUUUGCUGGCCUGUUCUGGGUGGCUUUCAGACAUUUAAUUGGUUAAGACAGAUAUAUAGCACUGUCACUAUCUGCUGGGGACCCAUAUAAAUUGUCAGCAGUGGUUUCUUUUGCCAUUUCAUGUAGUCAUGUCUGAUGGCUUGAGUGUUAUGGGAAGGAAGCAAAAUACAACUCAUCCUGUCAAGAGCUGCUCUGUAUUGUAAUUGCAGUAUCUAUAAGGAGUGUCAGGGUUGGGUUAUUGGAGAUGUCAGAAACAAAACGGGAGAGAUUAAAUGAGCACAAAGAGCUGCAAAAUGAGGAGGUAAUUGCACUUCAUGAGAGUGCAAAGAUAACACUGGGGAUGUAGAUCUCGAAUAGUGCUGCAUGGAGCUGUGAGUGCAUGCCUUGCAUCCCCUGGCAAGUGAUUUGCAUGAGAGUUUUGGAUGGGCUCAUCUCCAGGUGUGGUGGCAAGUGUGCUGCUUGCUAAAGCACAGCCUCCAACCUGGGGCCAUUCUGGGCUUAUCCAGCACUUUCAUCUGCUUUAACAUGCUGCCCCAGGUGAGCCAGGCUGAGCUGCCAAGGGUCUCUGGGAAGCCAUGGUAUUAUUGAAGAGGGGGCUGAGCACAAAUGCUUUGCCUUCUUGCAGGUGCCAGUUGCUGGCUACCAUCCCAAAACAGGAGGAGAGCUCUUCUGGCUGCCACUGCCUGGGGUUUCUUCUUAUUAUGCGAAAGUCUCUGUCUGCAGAAACACUCCUGAAUGAUGUUUACUGUUAUUGGACAGUAUCUGUUUUCCUUCAGCUCCUGUUUUCUCUGUGGGGCGUUUCGGAGGAUCUGGAAGCUUGCUGCCUGUGUAAGCUAUGUCUGUAAUGACCCAUUAACUCUAAGGAGCCUUUCCAAGGCCGUUUAUAAUUGAUGGAGGAAAACAAGCUCCCCCAGGGCUCAGCUUACCCCGCCGGUCUGGGCAGUGGCUGUAGGGGUGAACCAGCUGCAUGAUCCCACAGCUCUGUUGAGCAAAAGGGGACCAGGGCAGCUGGCUUGCACUCCAGUAACUAGAGCAGUGAGAUUAAUUUGACCCCAGCAUAUGCCAAUCUAUAUGGAGGGGUUACUGCCUGCGCUCAGGCUGUCUCACAGCAAGCCUGGCAGUGCCUUCCAACUUCUUCAUGAAUAGACAGGCAGCUCUUUAGGGAGCUGCUCCCAGGACCACUUCUAAAGGUAACACAGGCUGACUGUUUUCCCUGUCUAAGUGGUAACUCUUCCUGUUUGUUGUUUGGAUCCAUUAUUUUGAUCUCUGAGCUCCUGAGCCUUCGAGCCUCUAAUGAAGCCCUUUGUGUGAUGCUGCAGUGAGGCUCAGAGGUGGCAUUGUGUCCGUGCAGGUGGGAGCAACCUUCAGGUCAGGAACAGAGCUGUGAACGGAGGAAUUGUGCUUGGUAGCCACAGAAAUCAGACAUGCAGUCCCUUUAGAAAGUCAGGGACUGCAUGGCUUUCCCGAAGACAAACAGGGAAUAAGGGGCAAAGAAAACCAAACCCCCAGCAAAGCAUUAGAAGGGAUUAACAUGGGCUGAUCCCUAAACAGCUUCUUACACUGCAGCCUGUUUUUUUCUCUGUUGCAGUCUGAUUUUUUUUAUAUAUUACUAUUAUCCUCUCUUCCUUUGUUCUGCUUUCAUUUUCCUGGAGUGAAAUAGAAAGGUCUGGGAUUAUUACUGGCAAAUUCAAAGCAGGAGUGGGGUCAUGCCAUGAAAAUAGUGUUUACAUUGACACUCUUGUGCAUCCUCGCUGUUUAUAUUCUAUUGCUUGGCAUUUCAAAGGGAUGAGUAUUACAGACCUGAAUGGCUGAUUGCUUCUGAGAUUUGGAUAUGUAUAAAACAGGAGCAGUCCUGGACAGCAGAAAACAGCUGCUUGUAUGUAUACAUACACAAUAUGCAGUUUAAUGGGGGAAUAGUUAGGAUAAGGUGGAGAAGUUCAUGCCUGUACCUGACAAACACGACUGGCAUCGUUCCUGAAGAGAGAAACCAUUACAGAACCAACGAGACAAAUGCCAAGCAGCACUCGUAGCCAGAGCAGAAGUCUUUCUGUUGAACACUCUGAUGAAUUUGGGAUUUUUGGAUUACAAAUCUCACCUGAAUUUUGUGUAGCAGCACUGUCCUAAUUAAGCCCUCAACCACCGCAGCAGUGGUCACAGCACUUAUUAGUGAAUAUAUGCAAAGACUAAAGGGACAGCCUAAAGCUUUGUGUGUGGAGUCUAUUUCCAUCAGCCUCCCAUAUUUCCUUUCUCUGGAAGUUCAAGGGGCAUAUUUUAGUUUCCCUCUAGCAAGGAGGUUAGUGUGGCUUUUCUAAGCAUAGAGGAGGAUGUGCACUGUUAUGAAAUGCCUCUAGUGUUUUUCCCCAUGAAGCUUCUUGUUUGAUUAAGGCAUGUUGCAUCAGGUAAUAUUGUUUACCAGCAGUUAAUUGGAAUCCUCCUGGGUCUAGUAACCAACUUUUUAUGGGACCUGAUCAGCUGUUAACCUGAAUUCAGAAUACCUCCCCUGGCAUGUGUAGAGUGGGCUUAGAAUUGAGCCCAAUUAGUUUGUAGUAUGGCUUCUCAUUUGCAUCGCUAUUCGAGCCCUGUAGAGUUGAGCUUUGCAGGAGAGAAGGAAUUUGGCCACAUGCCUUUCCUUUGGUGCCAAUUUGGAUGAAUUGAUGUUUGAUGUAUGUAGGUAACGCUACCAAGUCCAUUGAAGUGGACAUAGGUUAAGUAUGCACUGCAGGCAAUUAUCCAUUAGUAUAAAAGCUCCUUGGUAUAGUAUUUAGACACCGAAAUGACCAAAAAAAAACCAAACCCUGGACCUGAUGAUAGCUUUUGCAACACUAUAUAAUUCAUGCAUUAUAGCUCUGCUAUUCAUGUUUAAUAUUUCAGAAAUAAUGAAACACAUUUCAUCAGGAAAUGCAACAUGUGAAAUGCAGUGGGCAUAAAUAAACACUUAAUUGAAGCAGAGGCCUCCUUUGCAUGCUGUGAAUCUCUUCCUAACUUUAUAAAUAUCCCAGAAUAUUUGGCUUAAGAAUGUCUUUGAAAUGGUGGUAGUAAAGUGAACCAUUAGUGGAAGUUUCUAUAGCUCACAUGGAGAUGUGAGAUCGUGGCCCCAUGAGAUGCAGGCAGAGCUCCCUCUGCUCUGCAAGGGAGCAUUUCUGCUGCAAUCUGCAGAGCCAGACUUCCCUGUCAGCGGUGCCCAUGAAACCUAGAGAACUUAACUGAUGUUUGAAAGGGUGACUAGCAGUCACCACAAAUUACUUGAGAAAAUAAAUGUCUUGUGUGCAUUAAACAAGUGGCUCUUGAGCAUCAGUGUGCUUGUGAAACUCUUUUUGGGAAUUCUCUGGUGUUCAUCAUCAGUAGCACAUCAUGUUUGUUUUUUUUCCAGCAGAAGAAAUAACUGGGGAGAUGAAGGCCACGUAUUCAUGUGCUCCACACCUCCAGGAGCUUCAUGCCUUUGCAUCUCCAGUUUGUGCAUUCUCUCCCAGUGGCAUUGCACAAAUCUUAUUGUUGUCUCAGGUAGGAGUCACCUUCUCUGAGCUACAACAAAUACCACAUGCUGUUUCUUGUAUAUAAAGUGAGAAACAGAUCCUUUUGGGAAGCUUCAAGUAGUAGAUGAUGUCCAAGACAGAGUAAAGGAGCUGUGUUCAGGAGAAAUAGUUUCUCAGUGAGCUACAAGAAACAUUUUGGAGAAGAGUUCAGUUGUAAAUGUCAGUGUUGCUAUGGCUAAAGCCUGAUGAGAUGAACCCCAAAAGCUGAACUGAGGAUAAAACACUUGUAAAAUGCUUUUGGGGUGGCAUUGGUGUGGCUCCUUCCAUAGCAGUGCUGAUUUUCUGCCCUCUACCAUGAAUCUUGUGAUAGUGGUAUUUCUCAUUCAAUCACAGCUUGUGAUUUACAGCUCAUUAGAAUCUUCAAUUUCACU
Molecule: non-coding RNA, 8442 nt
Organism: Meleagris gallopavo (turkey)
Lineage: Eukaryota; Metazoa; Chordata; Aves; Galliformes; Phasianidae
Source: RefSeq, a predicted model, not a curated record